UCCUUGAAAUGCAUUAAUUUUUUAAAGAGUUGAUUUAAAUGUUAAAACUUUAUUAUUAUUCUUUAAAAAAAAAUCUACUGUUUCUUCUCAAAAUUUAAACUUGUCUAGGAAACUCUUCUCCCCCCAAGUUUGUAUAAGUGAGACCCUGAACUUUUAAGAAACUGACUCAUUCAGUAUAAGCUUGCUUGUAUUGAAUGCUUGCUUUCGCGUUUUAUCUAUUAAAUUAGAAUGAUGCUGAAAUACUAGCAUUAGUUACGCAGAUAUAACUAUUCAUGUUUGGGUAUUCCAUUGUAAGAUCCAAAUUAAAAUCAUGAUUUUCGGUCUCUUGUUAAACUUAUCCUUAGCUUCAAAUGACGAGUUUUAAUUGUUUUGUGUGUGCCUUUCAUAAAUCAUCCAUAAGGAUCACUACAAUUUGUCCUUUGAGGGGAUAACAUAAAACUUAAGUCUUUUAUCCAUUAAGGGGGAUUAAUGAUGGAUAGAAUUAUAUCACUUAUUAAUUUAAUUACAUCCAAGGUCUGUUUUGUUUUUUCUUGUAGUCUUUCAAAAUUAAAGAAUCCUAAUUGAAAAA
RNAcentral lists this long non-coding RNA (568 nucleotides) under Bos taurus (domestic cattle). RNAcentral's name for it is "long non-coding RNA NONBTAT011330". The record is from RNAcentral. Lineage: Eukaryota; Metazoa; Chordata; Mammalia; Artiodactyla; Bovidae.